GACGAACGCUGGCGGCGUGCCUAAUACAUGCAAGUCGAGCGCCCCGCAAGGGGAGCGGCAGACGGGUGAGUAACGCGUGGGAAUCUACCGAGCCCUAAGGAAUAGCUCCGGGAAACUGGAAUUAAUACCUUAUACGCCCUUCGGGGGAAAGAUUUAUCGGGGUUUGAUGAGCCCGCGUUGGAUUAGCUAGUUGGUGGGGUAAAGGCCUACCAAGGCGACGAUCCAUAGCUGGUCUGAGAGGAUGAUCAGCCACAUUGGGACUGAGACACGGCCCAAACUCCUACGGGAGGCAGCAGUGGGGAAUAUUGGGCAAUGGGCGCAAGCCUGAUCCAGCCAUGCCGCGUGAGUGAUGAAGGCCCUAGGGUUGUAAAGCUCUUUCACCGGUGAAGAUAAUGACGGUAACCGGAGAAGAAGCCCCGGCUAACUUCGUGCCAGCCGCCGCAGUAA
RNAcentral lists this ribosomal RNA (447 nucleotides) under uncultured bacterium. Its description in RNAcentral is "partial 16S ribosomal RNA". It matches the Rfam family "Bacterial small subunit ribosomal RNA", at positions 28 to 523 of the family's 1533-position model. The record is from RNAcentral.